UUGUCUCAAAGAUUAAGCCAUGCAUGUCUCAGUACAAACCGUAAAUAAGGUGAAACCGCGAAAGGCUCAUUAAAUCAGUUAUGGUUCCUUAGAUCGUACCACAUUUACUUGGAUAACUGUGGUAAUUCUAGAGCUAAUACAUGCAAACAGAGCUCUGACCGGAGACGGAAUGAGUGCUUUUAUUAGAUCAAAACCAAUUAUGUCGUCCUUGGCUCCAUAUAUUACUGUAUACUAUUCUAUGGUAUUAUAGUAUAUAUGUCCAGGUGUUGCGUCAUAUAUAAAAUUGGUGAAUCUGAAUAAUUUGCUGAUCGCAUGGUCUAGUACCGGCGACGCAUCUUUCAAAUGUCUGCCUUAUCAACUUUCGAUGGUAGGAUCUGCGCCUACCAUGGUUGUAACGGGUAACGGGGAAUCAGGGUUCGAUUCCGGAGAGGGAGCUNNNGAGACGGUNNCCACAUCCAAGGAAGGCAGCAGGCGCGCAAAUUACCCACUCCCGGCACGGGGAGGUAGUGACGAAAAAUAACGAUACGGGACUCAUCCGAGGCCCCGUAAUCGGAAUGAGUACACUUUAAAUCCUUUAACAAGGAGCAACUGGAGGGCAAGUCUGGUGCCAGCAGCCGCGGUAAUUCCAGCUCCAGUAGCGUAUAUUAAAGUUGUUGCGGUUAAAAAGCUCGUAGUUGAAUUUGUGUCUCGCGCUGUCGGUUCAUCGCCAGCGUGCGGUGUUAACUGGCACGCCGCGGGACGUCUUGCCGGAAGGGCCGGUAUGUAUUACGGUAUUUUUUUUUUAAAAGUGUCGUUCUUAACGUCCAUGUUACCAUUAUAAAUAUUAUAUGUUUUUAUAUAUAUAUAUAAAUUAUGGUGAGUGUAAGUAUAUUGGUGUUGUGUGUGUUGCAUGCGUGUGUGUUUGUUGCUAUGUAACAAAUUUUAUUUGUUUACAUACACAUUCCACCCAUGUCGCCACCACUUUUUGCUAUUCACUUCGCCAUAUAUAUAUUAUAUAACUAUAAAUUUAGGUCAUGGCUCCGUUAUGCUUCGGCCGUCGUUAUACAUACGUAGUCCGACUAAUUUAAUCCUGUCUAGGUGCUCUUCACUGAGUGUCGUGGCGGGCCGGCACGUUUACUUUGAACAAAUUAGAGUGCUUAAAGCAGGCUAUUGUUGCCUGAAUACAGUGUGCAUGGAAUAAUGGAACAGGACCUCGGUUCUAUUUUGUUGGUUUUCGGAAUUUCGAGGUAAUGAUUAAUAGGGACAGAUGGGGGCAUUCGUAUUGCAACGUUAGAGGUGAAAUUCUUGGACCGUCGCAAGACGAACUUAAGCGAAAGCAUUUGCCAAAGAUGUUUUCAUUAAUCAAGAACGAAAGUCAGAGGUUCGAAGGCGAUCAGAUACCGCCCUAGUUCUGACCAUAAACGAUGCCAGCUAGCGAUCGGCCGACGUUCCUCCGAUGACUCGGUCGGCAGCUUUCGGGAAACCAAAGCCUUUGGGUUCCGGGGGAAGUAUGGUUGCAAAGCUGAAACUUAAAGGAAUUGACGGAAGGGCACCACCAGGAGUGGAGCUUGCGGCUUAAUUUGACUCAACACGGGAAACCUCACCAGGCCCGGACACCGGAAGGAUUGACAGAUUGAGAGCUCUUUCUUGAUUCGGUGGGUGGUGGUGCAUGGCCGUUCUUAGUUGGUGGAGCGAUUUGUCUGGUUAAUUCCGAUAACGANCGAGACUCNAGCCUACUAACUAGACGUACAUACUCGAUUAAUCAUCGAGAGCCCGGUAUUCCGAGGGUCGUUCCUGCUUCUUCUGGCCAUUGUUUUGUAUGCGUCAUAUGCGUACUAUAUUGAAGUAACGGUAUAUGUAUUUUCUCCAUUCAUAUUUAUUUAAUUAAUCUUUUUAACCGGAGAUAUUAUUUAAUUUGGUGUAUGGUAGAAUUUUUACCUCUAUGCCGUCUUCAUAUAGUUUCGUAUGUGCUCGUGUCGGCGAUGAUACUAGAGUUGUUUGUGGGCGAUCUUUACUACCGGCGUACAUAUAAAUCUUCUUAGAGGGACAGGCGGCUUCUAGCCGCACGAGAUUGAGCAAUAACAGGUCUGUGAUGCCCUUAGAUGUUCUGGGCCGCACGCGCGCUACACUGAAGGAAUCAGCGUGUCCUCCCUGGCCGAGAGGUCCGGGUAAUCCGCUGAAACUCCUUCGUGCUAGGGAUUGGGGCUUGCAAUUAUUCCCCAUGAACGAGGAAUUCCCAGUAAGCGCGAGUCAUAAGCUCGCGUUGAUUACGUCCCUGCCCUUUGUACACACCGCCCGUCGCUACUACCGAUUGAAUGAUUUAGUGAGGUCUUCGGACCGGUACUCGGCCGACGUUUCGACGUCGCCGACGCUGCUGGGAAGAUGACCGAACUUGAUUAUUU
RNAcentral lists this ribosomal RNA (2381 nucleotides) under Manticora amygdaloides. Its description in RNAcentral is "SSU rRNA". It matches the Rfam family "Eukaryotic small subunit ribosomal RNA". Lineage: Eukaryota; Metazoa; Arthropoda; Insecta; Coleoptera; Carabidae. The record is from RNAcentral.